GCACUGGUAGCUCAAUAAAAAAGAGCGCCGGCCUUGUAAGCCGGAGGCUGGAGGCGAGACCCCUCCCCUGUGUU
This 74-nucleotide transfer RNA is filed under the name Solenostomus cyanopterus (ghost pipefish). RNAcentral's name for it is "tRNA-Thr". It matches the Rfam family "tRNA". From Rfam's summary of the family: Transfer RNA (tRNA) molecules are approximately 80 nucleotides in length. Their secondary structure includes four short double-helical elements and three loops (D, anti-codon, and T loops). Lineage: Eukaryota; Metazoa; Chordata; Actinopteri; Syngnathiformes; Solenostomidae. The record is from RNAcentral.